CCCGAACGUUCAAACGGCGAACCAGUUGGAGUUUGGCGUACGGUCCGCUAGGGUUUCCCCGUCACCUCCCUCGCUUCCGCAGGGAAAAUGGCACGGGUAUAUGUUGGUAACCUGGAUUCUCGUGUUACAGAACGGGAUCUUGAGGAUGAGUUUCGCACAUUUGGAAUUAUAAGAAGUGUGUGGGUCGCCCGAAGACCACCGGGAUAUGCUUUUAUUGAUUUUGAUGACCAUAGGGAUGCACAAGAUGCGAUCCGUGAGCUAGAUGGUAAAAAUGGCUGGAGAGUUGAGCUCUCUCAUAACUCUAGUGGUGGACGUGGUGGUCGUGGUGGUCGAUCUGGUGGUUCUGAUUUGAAGUGCUAUGAAUGUGGUGAGCCUGGACACUUUGCUCGGGAGUGCCGCCUGCGUGUGGGUUCACGACGACGUCGAAGUCGCAGCCGCAGCCGCAGCCGCAGCCGCAGUCGCAGUCCAAGAUACCGCAGGAGCCCAAGCUAUGGUCGAAGGAGCUACAGCCCACGUGGUCGAUCUCCAAGACGUCGCAGUCUCUCUCCUCGUGGUCGCAGCUAUAGCAGGUCGCCCCCAUUCCGCGCCCGUGACGAAGUGCCAUAUGCUAAUGGCAAUGGUCGUGAUCGUCGCCGAAGCAGGAGCUGAAUGGUGCAGAGCUAAAAAAUGUGGUUUUGUCUGGAUCGUAUCUGGAUUAAGUGUGUUUAGUAGUUUGGACUUGGUACAACUUUGUUUUAGUCGGGCCUCGCCCUCAGCCCCACCUCUUCGAUUUGGAUAAGUUCUCAUUACUGAGUUUGCUUCAUUGGUUUUAUGCUCCUGCACGUCCACGGGAUUUCGAUCUACGCCGCGCUUUGUGCUUCUGCACUUCAGCGGGACUCGAUUCUUCGCUGCCUCGUCAUGGGAUCUUCAAUUUUGAAUGAUUGUGGGUCCCAGUCGGCUUCGUCUAUAGAUGCUUCCCUUUUGUCUUUCUCCAGAUUGAUUCGUGCUUCUCAAAUUCUAUUGGCACAUAAUAUAGUUAACUAGAAGGUUUGAGGAGCUGCAUCAAACACUUCUAUCAGGUAAUUAUAUUUGUUUUACCAAAGCAUGGAAUAGUGGUUUCAUUUUUCAGGUAAUGGGGUUUCACUUCAUAUUGAAAAGAAAGCAAUUAAAUGUUUUCCAUAGCUGUCAGAAUUGGAGUAUGAUCUUUUCUAGAUAGUUUUUGUUUUUGGUUACAACACGGCUGUCUUUGAUUCUAAUUUCAUAAUGUUUCUUUAACUAAAUUGUGAUUUUCUUCCAAAAUUGAACACUCGCUGCUUUGUCAUCAACACGAGACCCGUGGGCCCAACUACAGAAUGAUCUCCGCUUCGUCGAGUGGCUCCCUAAUUGAUUGAGACUCGUCUACAUGAUAGUCAUUUCAAUUUCUUCGGCAUCGUCUUCGUACAAAGCAUACAUUUGAUGCCUAUGCUGCUGAGAGCUGCUAUCUGUGUCGCCAUAUUCUAAGAUCUCCGCUUCGUCGAGUGGCUUCCUAAUUGAUUGAGAUUCAUCUACAUGAUAGUCAUUUCAAUUUCUUCGGCAUCGUCUUUGUACAAAGCAUACAUUUGAUGCCUAUGCUGCUGAGAGCUGCUAUGUCUCGCUACGUUCUCUUUAGGCAAGUUAGCUUAACAAGCUCUGCCGCAUCAAGUUUAGAUGGACUAUUUGUUUUGGGUUCCCUCAAAGCAUAACCAUUGAUAUGGGCCUCACAUUGUGUUGAGUCGCUGUAUAUUCAUCCUAGGAAGAUUGAACCGACUUCUUUCUCCUUGGUGGUGAAAGCAUACUUUGAGAGUUUGCCUUGAGGGAUUUUUGUCAUUGUUGGUUUGCAUUUUUUUUUCAGUGUAAUCUUUCCUGAAUGGCUUGACCUUGAACUUACGUGAAGUUGGAAUGAUCACCUCUAUAUUUGCUUAAUUAA
RNA transcript from Eucalyptus grandis, 1924 nucleotides. It is a transcript of the gene named serine/arginine-rich splicing factor RSZ22-like, with no coding region annotated. The transcript has 7 exons. Lineage: Eukaryota; Viridiplantae; Streptophyta; Magnoliopsida; Myrtales; Myrtaceae. The record is from RefSeq and is a predicted model, not a curated record.